AAGCCUGAUGCAGCAACGCCGCGUGAGGGAUGACGGCCUUCGGGUUGUAAACCUCUUUUAGUAGGGAAGAAGCGAAAGUGACGGUACCUGCAGAAAAAGCACCGGCUAACUACGUGCCAGCAGCCGCGGUAAUACGUAGGGUGCAAGCGUUGUCCGGAAUUAUUGGGCGUAAAGAGCUCGUAGGCGGUUUGUCGCGUCUGCUGUGAAAUCCCGAGGCUCAACCUCGGGCUUGCAGUGGGUACGGGCAGACUAGAGUGCGGUAGGGGAGAUUGGAAUUCCUGGUGUAGCGGUGGAAUGCGCAGAUAUCAGGAGGAACACCGAUGGCGAAGGCAGAUCUCUGGGCCGUAACUGACGCUGAGGAGCGAAAGCAUGGGGAGCGAACAGGAUUAGAUACCCUGGUAGUCCAUGCCGUAAACGUUGGGCGCUAGAUGUAGGGACCUUUCCACGGUUUCUGUGUCGUAGCUAACGCAUUAAGCGCCCCGCCUGGGGAGUACGGCCGCAAGGCUAAAACUCAAAGGAAUUGACGGGGGCCCGCACAAGCGGCGGAGCAUGCGGAUUAAUUCGAUGCAACGCGAAGAACCUUACCAAGGCUUGACAUACACCGGAAACGGCCAGAGAUGGUCGCCCCCUUGUGG
This 635-nucleotide ribosomal RNA is filed under the name Curtobacterium sp. Ri1Pt_3741. Its description in RNAcentral is "bacterial SSU rRNA". It matches the Rfam family "Bacterial small subunit ribosomal RNA", at positions 379 to 1024 of the family's 1533-position model. Lineage: Bacteria; Bacillati; Actinomycetota; Actinomycetes; Micrococcales; Microbacteriaceae. The record is from RNAcentral.